This 279-nucleotide ribosomal RNA is filed under the name Triticum aestivum (bread wheat). RNAcentral's name for it is "partial small subunit ribosomal RNA". The record is from RNAcentral. Lineage: Eukaryota; Viridiplantae; Streptophyta; Magnoliopsida; Poales; Poaceae.
UUAUUAAAUACAGGUAAAGCUGCUACGUACUCAAUGGUUGAUAGAUUACUACGGUUGGUCAUAACUCUUCCGGUGUCAACCGCAACACCUGAGCGAGCUUUUUCAGCUAUGAAACUAGUCAAGACACGUCUUCGAAACAGAAUGGGAGACGACUUUCUUCGGCAUUACAUGGUCGUCUAUAUUGGGAAGGAAAUAGCUGCAAAGAUCACGUCUGAUGAGAUAAUCAAUUUGUUCGACACUGGUAGUCGUAGAGCUGAGUUUAAGCUAAUAGAUAUGUAA